UAAGCGCACAGCUUCGCAUGAAGCGGUGUGAAAAACUCUGGUGGUAUACGAUGUUCCGCGUCUGAUUAGCUAGUUGGUGGGGUAAUGGCCUACCAAGGCAACGAUCAGUAGCCGGCCUGAGAGGGUGAACGGCCACAUUGGGACUGAGACACGGCCCAAACUCCUACGGAAGGCAGCAG
Molecule: ribosomal RNA, 179 nt
Filed under: uncultured bacterium
Lineage: Bacteria
Description: partial 16S ribosomal RNA
Rfam family: Bacterial small subunit ribosomal RNA
Source: RNAcentral